UGCCCUUUGGGCUAACAAAUGCCCUAGCAACUUUUCAGGCCUUGAUGAAUCAUAUAUUUCAUAAGCACUUGAGGAAGUUUGUGCUUGUUUUUUUUUAUGAUAUUCUGGUAUACAACUCUUCUAUAGAAAAGCAUAUGCAGCACCUGGAGAUAGUAUUUCGGAUCUUGAAAGAACAGAAAUUAUAUGCUAAACUCAGUAAAUGCUCUUUUGGAAAAACUGAUAUUGAUUAUUUAGGCCACCUAAUUUUUGAGGAGGGAGUUAAAAUUGAUCCCUUCAAGAUUCAAGCAAUGAUAACAU
This 297-nucleotide unclassified non-coding RNA is filed under the name Hevea brasiliensis (rubber tree). The record is from RNAcentral. Lineage: Eukaryota; Viridiplantae; Streptophyta; Magnoliopsida; Malpighiales; Euphorbiaceae.